CAUUAAGUGACUGAAAGUAAGUAAUGGUCUCUUAAACCGUAAAUAAUAAUUUAACAUUUAUUCUUAAUG
This 69-nucleotide transfer RNA is filed under the name Tychobythinus sp. 1 EF-2015. RNAcentral describes it as "tRNA-Lys". The record is from RNAcentral. Lineage: Eukaryota; Metazoa; Arthropoda; Insecta; Coleoptera; Staphylinidae.